Molecule: long non-coding RNA, 1330 nt
Filed under: Nicotiana benthamiana
Lineage: Eukaryota; Viridiplantae; Streptophyta; Magnoliopsida; Solanales; Solanaceae
Description: long non-coding RNA (NBEN_LNC039092)
Source: RNAcentral
GGAAUUUACAAAUAAUAUUAUCAAAAUAAACUAAUUAUCCUCUAACUAAUUUAAACCCACAUUGUUGGAUGAAUUAAACAGUUGGAAUUUAGUUAUCUGCAACUAUUUGAAGCUAGAAUUAACCUUAAUCACUAAUGCUUAUUCGAAAGUAUUUUUUAAAACUUAAACGUUAUCUCGUCUUUGUUUGAACUCAAAUCAUGCCUUAAUGCCUAAUUCACAAAAUUAGUUCAAAUUCAUGCUUUAACUAGAUUUAGCUACAUGUUCACGAUUAACCUACUGUUAUCAAUACUAAAACCUUCAUAGCUAGUGAACUAACCAGUUUUACCAAGCCGAUUCAAUAAAAACCAAAUAACGUUAUUUUCCUCUUAUUCCAAUUAUUAAGCUGUUUGACAGUAAUGAGCAUGCUUAAAGAUAUACUACAUAAUAACCAAACUAAAAUAGAAUAUUAUUUAGUACAUCGCUACAAGCUGCCUAAUUAUGCAAAGCGACAGAAAUUUACAGAAUAAUAAUAUAUGAAAUAGCCUAAAUGAAAUCAGUAAAAAACAAAGAAAAAGCUAAAUUAAAACUUCAAAGUUCCGUUCUUCUUAUGUAUUCAUGCUUUCACAUUUCAGCUUACAAUAUCGAUAAUGUUAUAGCCACAUACAUGGUAUUGCAAGUAAAAGAAGAGAAAGAUCAGCAGAAAAGUAGUAGCAUACAACAACAGUGACACACAGCAACAACCAAUAAUAACCAACAACAACCAACAACACAAACCUAGGGACAGACUUGAAAAACCAACAAAGAUCCAGGAAUAACCAAUGAAGUAUUAGCAAAUACUCAAAUAGCAACCAAGAAAAAGCAGAAAGAACCAGAAGCAAUAGAGUAGUAGUUUUCUGAUUUUCAUAUACUCAAGGAAAAAAAAGCUUGAAGCUUUAAUGGAAUAACAUCAAACUAAAAAUAAUUUUAAGGUUCAAAAUACAACCUCUAUUUCACUCUUUGAGUACUAGACCUUCUUUAUGUUUUCUAAAUUCCAGCAUAUUUUUUAAUUUAAAUUCUGAAUUUUUAGUCUUCAAAAAUCCACUCUUCAUUAUGUCCAAGUUUGUCUAUUGAUCUCCCAAAACAUACCCUUUUCAGCCCUCCUUUUUCUUUUUCUGAGGUCAAAGAAAACUAUUUAUUAUUACCCUUAUAGGAAAUCAUUCUAUCCAUGAUAUGUGUGCUUUUGCUAUCUUAUGUUUGACACUAUCAAUUGGUAUUCCCAAAAGGGGGAAAUGUCAAAAGGGGAAAGUAGCCUGUGUAUACUCUCUUUUUGCUAAUGCCAAUAGGGGGAAGAAAUUAGGCGAUAUGCAUCUAA